RNAcentral lists this non-coding RNA (122 nucleotides) under Karenia brevis. The record is from RNAcentral. Lineage: Eukaryota; Dinophyceae; Gymnodiniales; Kareniaceae.
CCGUUUGGUUUGAGCCACGUUUUGUGGGCUGUUAAUUUCUCAGAGCUCUCCUUGGGAAAGAAGGGGGCGAUCAACAUGGCAAACCUCUGCUCGCGCAAGCUGCUGCUCUGCACGGGCAUACU